GACAGCGCGCAGCGGCCAAUCAUAACCGUCCGCAGAUUCCCCACCAUGGCCCUGGAAACCGACAAACGAGUAAAAAAAAAAGAAAAGAGACGGAGAAAAAACCAAACGCACCACCGCUUCCCUCCGCACAACCAAUACCAGCACACUGUCAGCGUUGGUCGACAACACGAGAACUGACUGUAAGCACAUCACCAUCCAGCCUACACUGAACUUUGGAGCACUGGUAUUUCUUCUUUGAAGAGAAGAUUACAACUACACGUUGAGGAUGAAAAUUGGAGCUGUUUAUAUCCUUCUAAUGGCAAUUCUUCUUGGCGACUACAAUCUCCGAGGCGUCGCAGCUGGUCCAAAACCAGCUUUCACCGCUACUAUGACUGCACCGUCAGGCACCGCCCACGC
Long non-coding RNA from Acanthaster planci (crown-of-thorns starfish), 396 nucleotides. RefSeq lists it as uncharacterized. Lineage: Eukaryota; Metazoa; Echinodermata; Asteroidea; Valvatida; Acanthasteridae. The record is from RefSeq and is a predicted model, not a curated record.